CAAUAGCGUAUAUUAAAGUUGUUGCAGUUAAAAAGCUCGUAGUUGGAUUUCUGGUUGAAGCGACCGGUCGGGCGUUGAUUCGUCUGCACUGGAGUCGGUUUUGGCCAUCCUCUAGGAAAGUGCGUCUGGUAUUAAGUUAUCGGGCGUAUGAUCCUGGUCUUUUACUGUGAAAAAAUUAGAGUGUUUAAAGCAGGCCUUCGCCUUGAAUACAUUAGCAUGGAAUAAUAAGAUAGGACUUUGGUCUAUUUUGUUGGUUUGCAGGCCGAAGUAAUGAUUAAUAGGGAUAGUUGGGGGUAUUUAUAUUCCGAUGUCAGAGGUGAAAUUCUUAGAUUUUCGGAAGAUAAACUUAUGCGAAAGCAUUUACCAAGGAUGUUUUCAUUAA
RNAcentral lists this ribosomal RNA (382 nucleotides) under uncultured eukaryote. RNAcentral's name for it is "partial 18S ribosomal RNA". It matches the Rfam family "Eukaryotic small subunit ribosomal RNA", at positions 592 to 976 of the family's 1831-position model. The record is from RNAcentral.